This 1138-nucleotide unclassified non-coding RNA is filed under the name Hevea brasiliensis (rubber tree). The record is from RNAcentral. Lineage: Eukaryota; Viridiplantae; Streptophyta; Magnoliopsida; Malpighiales; Euphorbiaceae.
GAAAAAAAAAAAAAAAGUCAAUGGGAGGACCACAGCUACUUCUGUCUGGCACACCUGGCUGAGACUGUACAGAUAAUGCAAAUUAAAACCUUGAUCCAUCCUGUCUGCACUUCUCCAUACUAUAAAUCCACUCCUUUCUACAAAGACAAUCCCAACUACCAAUCUGCAUGACCAUUUACCUAAAAAUGCUCUCCUCGCAGCUCACACCCAACCCGCAUGAUCCCAAAUAAGAAAUGGUAAGAAAACCAACUUACAGUCUGUACAGGAUGGAUUAAUGUCAUAUACAUCAUUUAUUGGUGUUCACUUUAACAAGAUAGUAUAUCAUCUCCAAAUAGGUCUAAUACCAGCAUCUCCCCUAAAUCCAAACCUAAAACCACCUUCCAUCCACCUCAUAACCAUCCCACUAAGCAUCUCCAGUACAAGAAUAAAUAAGAAAGUAGGCAACCGGUUCUUUUCAUUAAACCCUUCAACCCAAAGAGCCACAUGGGCUCCACAAUGAAAACUUAGGUACUCUGCAACCGUCAAUUCAAAACUUCCAUAGAUGCCCUAAACUCAAAUUUUACUUUAAUUUACGCGAGUAAUGAAUGCUAAAUUUUAUUCUAUCACCAAGGAACUGUAUCAGCUGCCUUGACAAAAAUUAUUAGCAAGAAGGACAAAUGUACAGACAAGUGUACAUGGUUGGCUAUGAUGAUUCAGCCAUGCAUAACAUUAAUUUUUAAAAUAACCAUGAAGUGAAUGAUUCAAGAUGAAACCCUAGGAAGGCGAAAAGAACAAGAAUUUGUGGGGAACACAAAAUGGCCCUGGCUUUAAAAGAUGUAGCAAACACAAAGCAAUAUUGAAAAAUAGUUGCCAAAAAUAUCGAGAAGAAGCUGCUUAUCAACUUUAAUAUGGAACCAAAUUUUAAUACACUUGUGAUGAAGACUGUUGAUCACAGCAAAAUAUCUCAUUUAUGUUACCCCACAUACAGAGAGUGAGAAAGAUCUUUUCUUCUCAUUCCAAAGUUCAAAAAUCGGAUUGGGUUACUCACUAAUCACAAAACAUCAAUUACCUUCUCUAAUAUUAUAUACCCUUGGGCAAGGCGAUCAAUUGUUUUAUUAAGAAAAAGUUUACACCAACCUUGAACUAUGUUGGAUUUGUG